AGCCCAGCGACUCCUAUCCCUACCUCCUCGUGGUACUGGCCUGGGUACGAGUUACCUCAGGGAAGAUCGGGUAACCAACCUCGGUGGGAACUUUGGUCAUAUGUUGACAGGGAUGG
RNAcentral lists this ribozyme (116 nucleotides) under Aedes aegypti (yellow fever mosquito). RNAcentral describes it as "drz-agam-1 ribozyme". It matches the Rfam family "drz-agam-1 ribozyme". Lineage: Eukaryota; Metazoa; Arthropoda; Insecta; Diptera; Culicidae. The record is from Rfam by way of RNAcentral.